UCCUAAUUCAUAGAUUAAUUUUCAUGAGCCUGUUCUUGCAACGCUAUCGAAGCGAGAUCAUCAUACGACAUUAGACAAGAGAAUGAGAUUUUUCUCAAUUUUUUCAUCUUUUCGGGCAUUUUUAAAUUUAGUUUUCUUCUCUCAUCCUCUCAUUCAUCUGUACAUUACUGCAAAAUUAUUUUUUUUGAUUGGAAUUCUAAGGAAGUAAUUAAGCAAUAAAAAAAAGGGGGAGGAAGACUGCUCCGAUCUUCCAUUGUUUCUUCUCCGGUGUCAUUUCGCUGAGCAGCGGCAGCCAUUGUUGAUGACUAUAGAACAGUUCAACAGUAAUCAUAGAUGGAUUACUCAAUCUUGCUGAUGCCAAUACGCUUAAUGACUGCAUUCCUUAUUGCAUCAGUCUGCAUGCAGAGACCAUUUUGUUCAAACCCAGACAUGUAACUCUUAACUUCCUUUCUAAUCAUAUCUUGCAGAACUGAUAAGAACUCUGGAGUAAAAAACUGUUUCUCUCCUGAUUUGGGUGCAGCACUAAAAUCAUAACUUUGAUUAGAUUGAGCAAGAUGACCCAUGAAAGCCGAUGGUGGACAAGUUACGGGUACGGAUGGGGGAAUCGGUUUAUCAACCGCCGGCAAAGGAGGCGGUGGUAGUGGUGGUGAUUUAGGGGACUGGGUUGGCUUUUCGAUGGAUCCGGAUCCGGAUCCGGGUAACGAAAGGCAGAGAGAUGUUGGUGGGUCGGGUACAGAUGGAGGAAUUUCGAUCUGCUUAACCGGAGGAGGAGGAGGAAGAGGGAAAAUCCCGCCGGUACGGGGAACAGGUCUGUAAACAUGCGAUUGGGGAAAACCCGAAAGACUAGAAUCACUCAAGUCGGAUCCAGACGGACUACCCGGAUUCAUAACAGAAGAAAAAUUGGUACAGGGACCAACACUAGACGAUCUUUUCAAAGGCGGUUGAGGGGUUUCAAAGCUUAAAUCUUCGGACAUGGAAGGACACUUACGUUUAAGAGUAGAGUUCCAAUGGUUCUUUAUAGCGUUAUCAGUCCGACCCGAUAACAAACGGGCAAUAGUCGCCCAUUUAUUACCAAACUUGGCAUGAGCCCUGAUGAUCGUAUCAUCUUCUUCAGGAGUAAAAGCACGAUGUUCCACUUGAGGUGAAAGCUGAUUACACCACCGGAGACGACAGGAUUUACCAGAUCGACCCGGCACCGAUUUGCUUAUCAAAGUCCAGUUUCUAGGUCCAUGUUUCUCAACAAGCGUCUGCAACAACUCGUCCUCUUCAGGACUCCAUGGACCUUUGAUCCGAUCCGAAUCUUUUCUCUGCGUAAUCGCUGCCAUCAAAGGAAUAGCAACCGAUUAAUUAAGAAAAAGGGUAUGAUAGAUAUAGAGAAAGCGUGGAUAGAGAAGUUUCCGGCGAAUAUAUUUACAAAUUAGACGGUGGUGGGAGGCGGAGCCUCG
RNAcentral lists this unclassified non-coding RNA (1445 nucleotides) under Hevea brasiliensis (rubber tree). Lineage: Eukaryota; Viridiplantae; Streptophyta; Magnoliopsida; Malpighiales; Euphorbiaceae. The record is from RNAcentral.